Chiroxiphia lanceolata (lance-tailed manakin) is the source of this 889-nucleotide long non-coding RNA. RefSeq lists it as uncharacterized. Lineage: Eukaryota; Metazoa; Chordata; Aves; Passeriformes; Pipridae. The record is from RefSeq and is a predicted model, not a curated record. The transcript is spliced from 3 exons.
UAGAGAAUCCAAACCCAAUCCAUGCUGUGGGGUUGAGCUUCCCACCUCUGGAGGAGAGGGAUCCUGCCUGCCAAGGUUACCCAUCAGUGCCUGCUCUGAUGAGACAAUGCUGGAGACUUCUCUGUUUGACCAGCUGAAUUUCCACCCAUACACCUGGAUUUUGAUCCUGUGGGUCAGGCUGAAGCUUUCCUCACUUCUUCAGAGACCGCACUAACCAAGGUCAGCAGAACUGCCUGAGCCAUCAGCCAUCAGCCAGUAGGGAAAAUGAUCAUGUGGCAUCUUGUCAGGCUUGUCAUGAAGGGUGAGGUCCCCAGUGACCUGGUUCUUUGCUUCCAGAGGAGACCAAUGGUCUUGCUGUCCAGGUGCAGAGAUUCCCAGAAGGUUUUUCACGGAGGACAGAGGGGAAAAAACCUGGCUGCAGAACCCCAAGUGGGGCUGGGACCGAAUCACUGGCAAGAACCCCACGGACCCCCCCUUCACCCACGUAAUCAGAGGGAGGUGAGCCUUGCCUUGAGCACAGACACAAUGUUUCUAUUUUUGAUGUCCUGGAUCUUUAAAGUUGCAUCCACCGCUGAAUUAAGCAGUGUUUGCUUUUCAAACCUUCCACAUUUGUAUUUUUAGCUCCGUUUUGGCAUCACUUUUUUUGGUUGGAAUAUAUAACACACUGGGUUGUUUAGUGUGCCUGGACCGAGUUCAGCCGAUGUGUAACUCCACGGGCUGGAGCAGAAGCUCCGUUCAAGGUGAAUUACACUCUAUGGGGCUGAGGAAAUACAGCUUCUGUAGAAAGGCAGCUCGGCUCCCUCGGUAAAUGCUACACUAUUUCCAUCCGUGGUUAUUCCUUUGUGGUUUGGGUUAUGUAUUUACAUUUUACGGAAUAAAUACUACAGCU